This 120-nucleotide ribosomal RNA is filed under the name Penicillium decumbens. The record is from RNAcentral. Lineage: Eukaryota; Fungi; Ascomycota; Eurotiomycetes; Eurotiales; Aspergillaceae.
ACAUACGACCAUAGGGUGUGGAGAACAGGGCUUCCCGUCCGCUCAGCCGUACUUAAGCCACACGCCGGCAGGUUAGUAGUUGGGUGGGUGACCACCAGCGAAUCCCUGCUGUUGUAUGCU